UUUAAAAGCAGCGAUGCUACUCCUGAGCCGUGAGAACACGCUCAGUUCUUUUGACAUUGAUGCUCUUUUUGCAAAUUAGGUUAAAAUUCUAGGCGACCGUAAAGAAUAAUAAUGCAAUUGGGUGACAGACAGGACUGCCUGGAAUAAAUGGACUGCACUCCACAAGGAAUCCCUCGGCUCUGAAGAAACAUCCACAAACCAUCAUCUUGUGGGAGGGGGGUAUUUGAAGACGUAGCCAUAGCUGGCCCUGUACAAAUGUCGGAAAAAGGCAGCAUGUAAAUAUGUUGCACCACAAAUAUAAACAGAUUUAGGACUGUACCCUCAAAAGUGUAAUUGCUUUAAAUAUCUCAAAAAUGUAUUUAGGCAUUUUUAUGAGAACAUUAAUAAAGGCUAAGAGUGUGAUAACGUUGCUAAAUAUGGAUGCUUCAUGUAUCAACUGUAUAUGUAUGCUGUUCUUAUCACUUGGAAGUCAAACUGUCUUAAGCAUUUGAAUGUGCUCACCUUUGACAGUAACAUUACUCAAAGCGUAGAGAAGGCCAGACUCAACAACAAGAUCAAUAGUGUUGAGACACAGGCUAAAUUAACUCAUUUAUCUGUGAUUCACUGCACAACCUGAAUAUAGUUUCUGAGAAAUAUAUAACUUGCUUUGGAAAGCUUCAAAAAGAUAGCUUUGUUUCCAAAUUAUUGAAUGCAUCAAGUACACAGUUUUAGAAAAAUAUCAACAAAUAAAACAAUAACAGGACACAUAGAUGCAUAGUAACAAACCAAAAGAGAGGGCACAACUAAAGAAACCGAAGCAAUGUCAGAAUAUAUCCAACAUUAUUGUUGGUAUAGCAUGCUAAAUACAAUGGUACAAUAGUAAUACAUAAUAAUAAUAAUAAUACUACAGGUGAGAGCUUCCUGCAGGAUUUUGAGGGAUCUCGUUAAUUCAGAAAAACUGAACAAAAUAUUUUUUUCAUGAAGACUUCUCUCAUAAUUCUGAGAUAAUUAACUCGUUAAUUCCAAAAAAGUGCAGUUUUUUUUUUUUCUCAAGUGAAUGCAUUACGCUUCCAUAGAAACCAAUGUGAUACACACAUUACUUUAGCUUUCUAGAAAAAAGGUUUGGUUUAAAAAUGCAUUUAUGGCAAUUAUGGCUUUAUUAUUGUUAACAGAGUCACAGGGAAAAGAAGAUGUCAGUGUACAGUGUGUCACAUACUGAACAUGCUCCUAAUCUUAUUGUUGAUUGUACACACACAAGAUAAAGAUGUCGAAUACAGUUUGUUGAGACAAGCCAGUUUCAUCUUCAAUCGUGUAUUACAGAUCAUCUAUCAUGGUUCUACUGCUUAACACUGGAAACAGAAGCACAUUUAUUUACUUAUUUAUAUGACUUAUGACCAUUUUACAUUUUAAUUUAUUUUACUCACUUUUUUCUCUUUUUUGUCAUUUUGGUUUUCCACAUACUUACAGAAUAUGACCUUAUAUAUCAUAAUAUUAUAAUAAUAUUAUAUUGACCUUAGUAUUUCAACAUUUAAAGGUACAAACCAACUACAAGAAAGCAAGGGGGAACAUUAAUGGUGCCUUCCCAUUGUGUGAUAAUAAAUUUGCUUUUUAUAUCAGCAAUGCUGUUGACAUUUAAACUACUUAUCUGAUGACAUACAUGAGUGUAGUAACUAUCCAGAACUGUCUGUAAAGUUGAAGUUUGUGCAAUAAAAUAUGAACAGUGAAA
This is a long non-coding RNA of Micropterus salmoides (largemouth bass), 1705 nucleotides long. RefSeq lists it as uncharacterized. The record is from RefSeq and is a predicted model, not a curated record. The transcript has 2 exons. NCBI's taxonomy places the organism in Eukaryota, Metazoa, Chordata, Actinopteri, Centrarchiformes, Centrarchidae.